ACGGGUGAGGAAUACAUCGGAAUCUACUUUUUCGUGGGGGAUAACGUAGGGAAACUUACGCUAAUACCGCAUACGACCUACGGGUGAAAGCAGGGGAUCUUCGGACCUUGCGCGAUUGAAUGAGCCGAUGUCGGAUUAGCUAGUUGGCGGGGUAAAGGCCCACCAAGGCGACGAUCCGUAGCUGGUCUGAGAGGAUGAUCAGCCACACUGGAACUGAGACACGGUCCAGACUCCUACGGGAGGCAGCAGUGGGGAAUAUUGGACAAUGGGCGCAAGCCUGAUCCAGCCAUACCGCGUGGGUGAAGAAGGCCUUCGGGUUGUAAAGCCCUUUUGUUGGGAAAGAAAUCCAGCCGGCUAAUACCUGGUUGGGAUGACGGUACCCAAAGAAUAAGCACCGGCUAACUUCGUGCCAGCAGCCGCGGUAAUACGAAGGGUGCAAGCGUUACUCGGAAUUACUGGGCGUAAAGCGUGCGUAGGUGGUUGUUUAAGUCUGUUGUGAAAGCCCUGGGCUCAACCUGGGAACUGCAGUGGAAACUGGACAACUAGAGUGUGGUAGAGGGUAGCGGAAUUCCCGGUG
RNAcentral lists this ribosomal RNA (577 nucleotides) under Stenotrophomonas sp. StRD634. Its description in RNAcentral is "bacterial SSU rRNA". It matches the Rfam family "Bacterial small subunit ribosomal RNA", at positions 102 to 675 of the family's 1533-position model. The record is from RNAcentral. Lineage: Bacteria; Pseudomonadati; Pseudomonadota; Gammaproteobacteria; Lysobacterales; Lysobacteraceae.